UACGAAGGGGGCUAGCGUUGCUCGGAAUCACUGGGCGUAAAGCGCACGUAGGCGGACUCUUAAGUCAGGGGUGAAAUCCCGGGGCUCAACCCCGGAAGUGCAUCGGAUACUGGGAGGCUGGAGUACCGGAGAGGAGGGUGGAAUUCCUGGUGUAGCGGUGAAAUGCGUAGAUAUCAGGAGGAACACCGGUGGCGAAGGCGGCCCUCUGGACGGAUACUGACGCUGAGACGCGAAAGUGUGGGGAGCAAACAGG
Molecule: ribosomal RNA, 253 nt
Filed under: uncultured bacterium
Lineage: Bacteria
Description: partial 16S ribosomal RNA
Rfam family: Bacterial small subunit ribosomal RNA
Source: RNAcentral